RNAcentral lists this ribosomal RNA (360 nucleotides) under uncultured bacterium. Its description in RNAcentral is "bacterial SSU rRNA". It matches the Rfam family "Bacterial small subunit ribosomal RNA", at positions 27 to 412 of the family's 1533-position model. The record is from RNAcentral.
GAACGAACGCUGGCGGCAUGCCUAACACAUGCAAGUCGAACGAGACCUUCGGGUCUAGUGGCGCACGGGUGCGUAACGCGUGGGAAUCUGCCCUUGGGUCCGGAAUAACUCAGAGAAAUUUGAGCUAAUACCGGAUGAUGACGUAAGUCCAAAGAUUUAUCGCCCAGGGAUGAGCCCGCGUAGGAUUAGCUAGUUGGUGAGGUAAAGGCUCACCAAGGCGACGAUCCUUAGCGGUCUGAGAGGAUGAUCAGCCACACUGGGACUGAGACACGGCCCAGACUCCGUACGGGAGGCAGCAGGUGGGGAAUAUUGGACAAGUGGGACGAAAGCCUGAUCCAGCAAUGCCGCGUGAGUGAUGAA